Molecule: ribosomal RNA, 492 nt
Filed under: uncultured bacterium
Lineage: Bacteria
Description: partial 16S ribosomal RNA
Rfam family: Bacterial small subunit ribosomal RNA
Source: RNAcentral
AGUGAACGCUGGCGGUAGGCCUAACACAUGCAAGUCGAACGGCAGCACAGUAAGAGCUUGCUCUUACGGGUGGCGAGUGGCGGACGGGUGAGGAAUACAUCGGAAUCUACUUUUUCGUGGGGGAUAACGUAGGGAAACUUACGCUAAUACCGCAUACGACCUACGGGUGAAAGCAGGGGAUCUUCGGACCUUGCGCGAAUGAAUGAGCCGAUGUCGGAUUAGCUAGUUGGCGGGGUAAAGGCCCACCAAGGCGACGAUCCGUAGCUGGUCUGAGAGGAUGAUCAGCGACAGUGGAAGUGAGACACGGUCCAGACUCCUACGGGAGGCAGCAGUGGGGAAUAUUGGACAAUGGGCGCAAGCCUGAUCCAGCCAUACCGCGUGGGUGAAGAAGGCCUGCGGGUUGUAAAGCCCUUUUGUUGUGAAAGAAAAGCAGCAGGUUAAUACCCCGCUGUUCUGACGGUACCCAAAGAAGAAGCACCGGCUAACUUCGUG